UCCUACGGGCGGCUGCAGUGGGGAAUAUUGGACAAUGGGCGAAAGCCUGAUCCAGCCAUGCCGCGUGGGUGAAGAAGGCCUUAGGGUUGUAAACCCCUUUCAGCGGGGAAGAUAAUGACGGUACCCGCAGAAGAAGUCCCGGCUAACUCCGUGCCAGCAGCCGCGGUAAUACGGAGGGGACUAGCGUUGUUCGGAAUUACUGGGCGUAAAGCGCGCGUAGGCGGAUUUGCAAGUCGGGGGUGAAAGCCCGAGGCUCAACCUCGGAACUGCCCUCGAUACUGCAAAUCUCGAGUCCGAGAGAGGUGAGUGGAAUUCCUAGUGUAGAGGUGAAAUUCGUAGAUAUUAGGAAGAACACCAGUGGCGAAGGCGGCUCACUGGCUCGGUACUGACGCUGAGGCGCGAAAGCGUGGGGAGCAAACAGGAUUAGAUACCCUAGUAGUCG
Molecule: ribosomal RNA, 442 nt
Filed under: uncultured Hyphomicrobiaceae bacterium
Lineage: Bacteria; Pseudomonadati; Pseudomonadota; Alphaproteobacteria; Hyphomicrobiales; Hyphomicrobiaceae
Description: bacterial SSU rRNA
Rfam family: Bacterial small subunit ribosomal RNA
Source: RNAcentral